Molecule: ribosomal RNA, 361 nt
Filed under: Glomus sp.
Lineage: Eukaryota; Fungi; Glomeromycota; Glomeromycetes; Glomerales; Glomeraceae
Description: SSU rRNA
Rfam family: Eukaryotic small subunit ribosomal RNA
Source: RNAcentral
UUGGAGGGCAAGUCUGGUGCCAGCAGCCGCGGUAAUUCCAGCUCCAAUAGCGUAUAUUAAAGUUGUUGCAGUUAAAAAGCUCGUAGUUGAACUUCGGGAUCAAUGGAUCGGUCAUGCCGUUGGUAUGUACUGGUCACACUGGUUCUCACCUUCUAAGGAACCAUGAUGUCAUUUAUUUGAUGUUGUGGGGAAUUAGGACUGUUACCUUGAAAAAAUUAGAGUGUUUAAAGCAGGCUAACGCUUGAAUACAUUAGCAUGGAAUAAUGAAAUAGGACAUCCGAUUCUAUUUUGUUGGUUUCUAGGAUCGAUGUAAUGAUUAAUAGGGAUAGGUUGGGGGCAUUAGUAUUCAAUUGUCAGAGGU